ACGGAGGGGGUAGUUUAGAUUUAUGGGAAACCCAAUCAUUCAACUGGCAAAAGAUCGUCGGUACUCUCAUGUAAUCAUUGAAAUUGACAGCCUCUAUUCCAGCUACCGAAUUUAUGGGAAGUUGCAAGCGGAACGUUCUGAGAUUCCAUCUUUUGUAACUGGACCGAAUUAAUCAUCAACACAUAUACUAUUUGCGCUGAUUUAUUAAACGCAUCAAGGUUGAAAAUUUGAGAUGCCUACGUUCAAAAUUACAUAUAUUUUGGUCAGAAGUAUGAAGAGGAAGUUGAACCAUUAGGUUGUAUCACAUGCAUGCAUGCCGCUAUUGAGGAGGUUUAGCAUAUAAGAAUUAUGAGAAGAAAACACACUCAUGGAUGGAAACUACUAGCAUGCAUGUCUUACUUUUUAGUAUUUGAUCAUUGCAAAUUUAGUUCGUUGAUCAUGGCAAAUUUUAGUUUCUCACUAAUUCACAAUGUAAAAUUUAUUAGAUUUGAUCAUGAAAAAUGUAGUAAUUCACCAUGGCAAAAAAAAUUCAUAGAUCAUGGCAACUUUUAGUUUGAAGAUUUUGCCAUGUCAAAUUCUACUUCAAUUGUACGAUAUCAAAUUUUAGUAAAUGACCAUUGAAAAUUAAGUUUACGAUUCAUGUUAAAAACUCUUUGACUAUGCUAAAUUAAUUGACCAUGACAAUUUUGAGUUUAUAGAUCAUGGCAAAAUUUACUUUCAUGUAUCAUACAAAAUACCAAAAUUAUCCACUCGAUAAUAUUCAUUUAAAAAAACCAUGUUCAUGCAUGGGGUAAUGUGCAUUACGGUAAAAUUUAAACAACGGCAAAUUAAAUCACUUUUGGCCAUCAUUGCCAAACUUUGUCAUUUUUGUUUUGCCAUCAAUGCAAGAGUUUUAUGAGCAUGACAUAUUGUAUUGUUUCUUUGUCCAACUUGUCAAAAUUACUUUUUGUGCUGCCAUGGAAAAUUUAGGUUUAUGGUCACGACAAAUUUGUCUUUAUGAAUCGCGACAUUUUUUAGUGAGCAGACCAUGGUAUUUUUCCUGCGACCACAACAAUUUAUAUUUUGGACAAAUUUCGAAAUAUAAUACAAACCAUGGCAAUUUAAGUUAUGUAGCAUGUCAAUUUUAUUAUAUUUUCUUUGGACCAUGGAAUUUUUUCUAAAGCAUGAAAAUUUUCUAGUUGGCAUGAAAUUUCUCUUUUUCUGUAGGCAGUGUCUGAUAGUUUUAACAAUUAUAAAAAUUUAAGGCACUUUCUAGGUUUUUGUGCCAUUUUUAUUAUACUGAUUAUUUUCUCAGUUUUUUUCAGCUGGGUUUUUCUUCACUUUUCUCAUGCUUUUACUACAAUGUCAUUUGUUAAUUGUAUGUUUUUGUAUACAUAAUAUUUUCUAACUGUUUUUUCUCACUUCUGUUUAAUUUUUGUUUACAAACGUAAUUAUUUGGGCCAGGAGGCCUAGAAAAAGGCCUGGCUAAUGUGGGGUCGGUCGUUCGUGCUGCGGUGACAUCGCAACGAAUGAAACCCAUUUGUUCGUAGUGUCCUGGUUCAUCGAACAAUUCGUUCGGUCCACUCACCUCACAUCCUGAACAUUCGGGAGGUAUCAGUUUCCACGUUACAAGGUCCUUAACUAAAUUCAGCAUAUUUAUUUGUUUUUUUCAAUUAUUUGAAUUGCUUACCGCAUACGUCACGUGGUAUAUUUACUUGUAAAUUGACCGAUCUAUUUGCUAUUCCCUUUGUUAGCUAUACUUUAGUGAUCUAUAUACGCUCUUCUUUUUCUUAACCGAAUUUAUGGGAAGUUUGCAAGCGGAACGUGCAGAGAUUUCACCUUUUGUAACUGAAACGAAUUAACUUUGUAGUCUUCAAGACUGGCUAGGUGCCAGGUCACUGAAUUUUUUUUGGGGCCAGUCAAAUUGUUUUUACCUUCCGAUGUGAAUCUGACUACCUGAUUGCAUUCUUGCACCUCCCGACUACCCAUGUUCAUCUUGUUCCCACAAACCGGCAGAGGCCACGGGCCGGCGACACUCCUGCCACUACCUUCAGACCGUGCAUGUCCUCUGCUCGAUCUCCCUGCACUGUCGUGCUUGCUGCCAUCGAUGAAUAUCCCUCAAAACCUGCGCGCACUAGACUUAUUCCCAUCAUACAUGUACCCCCAGCCCAAGUUUAUCUUUGAAGUUGCCUCCGUCGGUGAUAUUACCGUGGUUAUAAUUAAGACAUUAACAUUGAUACUGUUUGUGUUGAUUUAUUAACCGCAUCAAGGUUGAAACUUGGAGAUGCCUACGUGUCAAAUUACAUAUGUUUUGAUCGGAAGUAUGAAGAGGAAGUUGAACCAUUAGGUUGUAUCACAUGCAUGCAUGCCGCUAUUGAGG
Molecule: long non-coding RNA, 2359 nt
Filed under: Hordeum vulgare
Lineage: Eukaryota; Viridiplantae; Streptophyta; Magnoliopsida; Poales; Poaceae
Description: long non-coding RNA (HVUL_LNC017645)
Source: RNAcentral